UACGGAGGGGGCUAGCGUUGUUCGGAAUUACUGGGCGUAAAGCGCGCGCAGGCGGCUAUUCUAGUCAGAGGUGAAAGGCCCGGGCUCAACCUGGGAACUGCCUUUGAUACUGGAUGGCUUGAGGUCGGGAGAGGGUAGUGGAAUUCCCAGUGUAGAGGUGAAAUUCGUAGAUAUUGGGAAGAACACCGGUGGCGAAGGCGGCUACCUGGUCCGAUACUGACGCUGAGGCGCGAAAGCGUGGGGAGCAAACAGGAUUAGAAACCGAGUAGUCC
This 272-nucleotide ribosomal RNA is filed under the name uncultured bacterium. Its description in RNAcentral is "partial 16S ribosomal RNA". It matches the Rfam family "Bacterial small subunit ribosomal RNA", at positions 524 to 796 of the family's 1533-position model. The record is from RNAcentral.